GAGAGGGAGUCUCCUUUCCUUGGAGGAGUCAGGGAAAACUCUGCUCCAGCAGCUUCUGGUGGGAGGCUGGAUAUUAUCCAGGCCUGCGCGCAGUCAUCCGGAGGCCUAAACCCCUCCCUGUGGUGCUGUGCUUCAAUGGUCACUCUCCUUGUCCACUUUCAUGUUCCUCCCAUACUCCUGGUUCCUCUUUGAAGUUCGUAGUAGAUAGCGGUAGCAGAAAUGGUGACAGUCUUAAAGUCUUUGAUCUUUCUUAUAAGUGCAUAGAAGAAAACACUGACCUAUGCUGCCUUCUCUCUGUGUGCUUUGGCUACCUAAGAAGGAAGGGCCACCUGUCCUGUGAUCAUGUGACUUGCUUCACCUUGUCAAUCACUUAGAAGAUUCACCCUCCUUACCCUGCCCCCUUGUCUUAUAUGCAAUAAAUAUCAGUGUGUCCAGCCGUUCAGGGCCACUACCAGUCUAUGCGUCUUAAUGGUAGUGGUCCCCGGGUCCAGCUCUUUUCUCUUAAUCGUUUUGUCUUGUGUCUUUAUUUAUUACAAUCUCUCAUCUCUGCACACCAGGAGAACACCCGCCAAGCUCCGUAGGGCUGGACCCUAUAUUUCUGUAAUAUGGAAAUAUUAAUAGUGGCAAGCCCACAUAGCUGCCACGAGGACUUCAUACAAUAAUGAAGGUAUGCGUUUUUGGACAUCCUUUUAUUGGAGAGCUGAAAGAGAAGGCUACCAUCUUUGGACGCCCUUUUACUGGAGAGCUGAAAGAGAAGGCUACUGAGAAGAUAUUUUUAAAGUUCUCACCAGGAUCCAAUGGCCCUAAGGAGACAAGUACAUUUGCUUGGAAAACUGGUCACCUAAUUCCCAAAAGGACAGAGCUAACAUUAUAUGUCUCAGCAUCCAGUCCAUCCUAGAUGGAUUUCGAUUCUAUCUAGGGAAUCUCAUCAAACAACCAGGGAGGAUCAACCACCAGAGAAAAGAAGAGACUGGGAGUCAUCACCAUGUCCCCAACAGAAUUUUCAUCUAUCCUUCUGAGGACAGCUCCAAGUGAUUACCUAGAGGACUUUGCUUCAUAAUAAGUCAACCUUCAUUCCUGUGCAGCCCCACCUCUCACCUUCCCAAAAUGUCUGCCUCCCAUCUUCUGGGUCCAUUCAUUCUCUCAAAUGAUUUGCUGCCCCUCAAAAGAAUUUUCCACGUUCCUCAUCUCUCCCCUCCCCUGGGAAAAAGCAUAUAUAAGCUUCUAUACCACCCUGGGUUAUUGGGUAAUCAUUCUCCAGCAAUUCUCCCAUCCUGUGCACAUCAAAUAAAUUCUGUAUGCGUUUUCUUUUAUUAAUGUGCUUUUUGUCUGUUGAUUUUCAGUGAGUCUUUAGAGGGCAAAGGGGAAAUUUUCUCCCUGCAAGAGUCUUAUUAUCCGAGUGUCUCUGCAAGCAGCACGUGGG
RNAcentral lists this long non-coding RNA (1423 nucleotides) under Homo sapiens (human). Its description in RNAcentral is "HSALNT0271500". Lineage: Eukaryota; Metazoa; Chordata; Mammalia; Primates; Hominidae. The record is from RNAcentral.